RNAcentral lists this long non-coding RNA (205 nucleotides) under Mytilus galloprovincialis (Mediterranean mussel). Lineage: Eukaryota; Metazoa; Mollusca; Bivalvia; Mytilida; Mytilidae. The record is from RNAcentral.
CCAGCUCCAGACUUCAAUUAAACUGACUGAAAGAUUAUGAUUUCAUCAUAUGAACAUCAAGCACAAUCCUUCCCGUUAGGGGUUUAGUAUCAAACCAUCAUAACAUAUAUAAGUAGAACAUUACCCGUGUCAUGCCAACAACUGUUUUUAGAAUAAAUGUGUUUAGUUUCGGUGCAAAGACCUUAUCAGUGACUCAAUAUUAACG